This 77-nucleotide transfer RNA is filed under the name Firmicutes bacterium HGW-Firmicutes-11. Its description in RNAcentral is "tRNA-Val". It matches the Rfam family "tRNA". From Rfam's summary of the family: Transfer RNA (tRNA) molecules are approximately 80 nucleotides in length. Their secondary structure includes four short double-helical elements and three loops (D, anti-codon, and T loops). The record is from RNAcentral. Lineage: Bacteria; Bacillati; Bacillota. RNAcentral also lists the same sequence under 2 other names.
GGGGGCAUAGCUCAGUUGGUUAGAGCGCAUGCGUCACAAGCAUGAGGUCGCAGGUUCGAAUCCCGCUGUCCCCACCA